GGGCAUAGCAGGGCAUGCCUGCAAUCCUUGCCACCACAGGAGGCUGAGGCUGAUGGAUCACUUGAGCUUGGGAGUUUUCAGCUGCAGUAGGCUUAAAGCCAAUUGGGUGUCUGCAUUAAGUCUGGCACCAAUAUGGUGAACUCCUGGAAUCAAGUGACUGCCAGGCUACCUAAGAAAGUGUGAACAAGCACAGGUCUGAAAAAAUGAAGCAGGUCAAAGCUUCUCCUGAUCAGCAGUGGGAUUAGGCCUGUGAGUGACCACUGUGCUUCCAUCCUGAGUAAGAUAGAGAGACCCAUCUCCAA
This 302-nucleotide signal recognition particle RNA is filed under the name Vombatus ursinus (common wombat). Its description in RNAcentral is "Metazoan signal recognition particle RNA (ENSVURG00010012468.1)". It matches the Rfam family "Metazoan signal recognition particle RNA". Rfam says of the family: The signal recognition particle (SRP) is a universally conserved ribonucleoprotein. It is involved in the co-translational targeting of proteins to membranes. The record is from Rfam by way of RNAcentral. Lineage: Eukaryota; Metazoa; Chordata; Mammalia; Diprotodontia; Vombatidae.